AAGGAUCAUUACAGAGUUCGUGCCCUUCGGGGUAGACCUCCCACCCUUUGUAUACAUACUAUUGUUGCUUCGGCGGCACGCCGCAAGGCCCUCGGCUUCGGCUGGGGCGUGGCCGCCGGAGAACCCUAAACCCUGAAUUACAGUGUCGUCUGAGUACUAUAUAAUAGUUAAAACUUUCAACAACGGAUCUCUUGGUUCUG
RNAcentral lists this unclassified non-coding RNA (200 nucleotides) under uncultured fungus. RNAcentral describes it as "partial contains 18S rRNA, ITS1, 5.8S rRNA, ITS2 and 28S rRNA". The record is from RNAcentral. Lineage: Eukaryota; Fungi.